AGCGGGAACAAUGAUACUUCAGGUAAUACUUGAGGGGAUUAAUUAGACAGGGCUUUUCUUGAGUGGUAACCAAAUAAUCUGAUUUGUUACUAUUUUACAGGAACGACCAUCCUUACUGCCAUACGGUCCACGGUUGAUCCAAAAACAGAGGUUGUCUUCCAAGAGGAUCCCAACAGCCAAUUCUUGGAGGGGAACAAAUUUGACUAUGCGAUU
RNAcentral lists this long non-coding RNA (213 nucleotides) under Linum usitatissimum (flax). Its description in RNAcentral is "long non-coding RNA (LUSI_LNC000268)". The record is from RNAcentral. Lineage: Eukaryota; Viridiplantae; Streptophyta; Magnoliopsida; Malpighiales; Linaceae.